Molecule: ribosomal RNA, 468 nt
Filed under: uncultured bacterium
Lineage: Bacteria
Description: partial 16S ribosomal RNA
Rfam family: Bacterial small subunit ribosomal RNA
Source: RNAcentral
GACGAACGCUGUCGGCGUGCUUAACACAUGCAAGUCGAACGGAAAGGCCCUGCUUUUGUGGGGUGCUCGAGUGGCGAACGGGUGAGUAACACGUGAGUAACCUGCCCUUGACUUUGGGAUAACUUCAGGAAACUGGGGCUAAUACCGGAUAGGAGCUCCUGCUGCAUGGUGGGGGUUGGAAAGUUUCGGCGGUUGGGGAUGGACUCGCGGCUUAUCAGCUUGUUGGUGGGGUAGUGGCUUACCAAGGCUUUGACGGGUAGCCGGCCUGAGAGGGUGACCGGCCACAUUGGGACUGAGAUACGGCCCAGACUCCUACGGGAGGCAGCAGUGGGGAAUAUUGCACAAUGGGCGGAAGCCUGAUGCAGCAACGCCGCGUGCGGGAUGACGGCCUUCGGGUUGUAAACCGCUUUCGCCUGUGACGAAGCGUGAGUGACGGUAAUGGGUAAAGAAGCACCGGCUAACCACGUG